Molecule: long non-coding RNA, 1789 nt
Organism: Neofelis nebulosa (Clouded leopard)
Lineage: Eukaryota; Metazoa; Chordata; Mammalia; Carnivora; Felidae
Exons: 2
Source: RefSeq, a predicted model, not a curated record
AGUAAUGCAACCAACCAUGUGACUCUUUCCUUUCCAUAUGAGAAAUACGAAUCUCAAUUUAGUAACAAGGGAAACUAUUCAAAUUUGGCAAAGCUAUUCUUUGUGUGCCCUCAGACAGGUGGGGAAAAUGUGUUCGCGAGCAACGCAGUCUUUCUUGACCUCUUUGCUUAUCCUCCUCUAAAGACCAUUCCAGUUAAAACGCUUAUUCUUGCACGUUUAUCCUUGGUGCUGGCAGAGUCUUCCCUGUGUCAGAAAACACGACCUCCAACUUCAGAAGGCUAAGGAUGUUUUCAGAGUCAUGAAGAGCAUCUCGAAUCAAAUCUAACCCCCAGAGGCCACGACCGGUUUUCAUCAACUUUCCUAGCAUCUCCCUCCGGCCCUAAAGAAGAUGAGGAAGCACAGUUCCUGAACCCUGAGGUCACACUGAUGCGCAGCGUCAGGCAGUACUGCUCGCAAGAGGGCCCAGAACGAAACACUGAGGAAGAGCCACACCCGGACAUCGUGGACAGGCUCCCUGUGUGUCUUCUGCUUGGGUGUGCCCUGUUGGAAAGGAGAAGGACACAUGUGACAUAUUUAAAGCUUGAUGAAAGGGCUGAAGAAUUCCAGCUGCUUUUUAUCCAACCCUGACACUUAGAUACUUUUCAAGAAGCAACGUGGCCUUAUGAAUUGGUAAGAAUAAAAAGAAAUAGUUUAUCCUUUAGCUUUAUCCUUACAAGGCCCCACCUAACUGCCCACAUGGUGAACUGGGAAAAUAGUAAACUGUAAAAUGUUUUAGUUGAGAUAUAAAGUAGACCUAUUUUGAGUAUAUGACGAUGACUUGUACAUAAACUUGGAGCCUUCCCUGACAGCCCAGUCUCUGAAAACAGCCCACACUGUCUCCACUGCUUAACUUCUGCCUCCUCUGCCCAUUGCAGUCUGGCUUGUGCACCCACAACUGCAAUGGAAAUGAUUUCUGAAGAUGAUCAGGACCUUCCGAUUGUGAGGUGUCAUGGCUUCGGUUUUAGAAUGGCUGAAGUUUAAAAAAAUUACCCUACCAUGCACUGGAGAGGAUGUGGAAGGCCCAGAACUCUCUGAUACCACUCAUGGGAAUGUAAAAUUGUACAACCGCUUUGCAAAACAGUUCAGCAGUUUCUUAAAAAGUUAAACAUAUACAGAUCAUAUGAGCCAGUCUGGGUAUUCACCCAAGAGAAAAGAAAGCAUGCGUUCCUACAAGGACAUGAACAUGAACAGUCAAAGCAGCUUUAUCUGCAUUAGCCAAAGAUUGGCAACAACCCAAAUGUCCAUCAUUUAUCCAUUAAGGAGAAUGGAUAAAUAAACUGUGAUACAUCCAUGCUAAGUCCACAAUGGAAUACUAUUCAGCAGAAAGGAAGAAGGAAGGUAGGAAGGAAGGAAGGGAGGAAGGGAAGAAGGAGGGAAAGCUAUUUACACAAUGCUCCAAAAUGGGUGAGUCUCGAUCUCAAAAUAAUUAGGCCCAUUCCCAAAAUAAGGAAGGCAGUUUAAAAAAAGAGUACAUACUAUGAUUUCAUUUAUAUAAAAUUUGAGAAAAUGCAAACUAAUCUAUAGUGAUGGAUCAGUGGUUGCCUGGGAAAGAAGGAUAGAAAGGGAUGGAGAGGAGGGGUUACAAAGGACCAGAAGGAAACUUUUCGGGUGAUGGAUGUGUUCAUCAACUUGAUCAUGGUGAUGGUCUUAGGGUGUGUCCAUACAGAAAACUUAUGAAACUAUAUACUUUAAAGAUGUGUGGCUUAUUGUAUGUCAAUUAUACCUCAAUAAAAUUAUUUUUAAAAGCCCA